Molecule: long non-coding RNA, 316 nt
Organism: Ochotona curzoniae (black-lipped pika)
Lineage: Eukaryota; Metazoa; Chordata; Mammalia; Lagomorpha; Ochotonidae
Exons: 3
Source: RefSeq, a predicted model, not a curated record
GCUGUUGUAUCUUCAGUUGGGCGAUUAGACCUGCAUGCGCAUUGCCAAAUUAAAUUCAAGUUCAUCACUCCUCUGCAGGUAUUCCAGUUUGUGCCAGCGAUGACUCACAUGGGAGAUUUUCACUGAAACUAGCUCGAGUUCUGUGCUCAGUCUCCCAGACCUGCUCUCUUCAUAUUUUCCUUUAAGUCGACUGUCUAGGUCCCUGCACACUUAUGAAGCCAGGCACCAUGAGGGAGCUGGAUCAAAAAUGGAAUAACCAACGCGUAAACCAACACCUUCAUGGGAUUCAUGGUCAUGGGGCGUCUCAACAAAACAG